This 1250-nucleotide unclassified non-coding RNA is filed under the name Dimorphilus gyrociliatus. RNAcentral describes it as "dgyrCDS7460". Lineage: Eukaryota; Metazoa; Annelida; Polychaeta; Dinophilidae. The record is from RNAcentral.
AGAAGUUUAAUCGUUCAAAUCGAUAUAUGACAGCGCCAGAAAUUAGUUCCUCGUAAUAACAAUCAGUUAGUUGAUAAUUGUUUUUCAGUUUUGGUAUUAUCAACACCAUUUGACUAUUCGGCAAGUAUCUAAACUAUUGUAUUUGUUUUUUAUCUAAGAUAUGACAAAAACAAUAUGUGGAUUGCUAUAAUUGAUGAAUAUCAGCUGUAGAAUGAAGAGAGAUGCAAAAAUCAUAUGAAUAUUUUUAAUUGCAGACAUGGUGAGCAAUGUCAUACCGAAAGGUAACCCAGCUCAUGAUUUACAACAAGCUAUAAUUGCUGGGAAUAGGGAGUUGGUGCUUAGUAUACUUUUACAGAAGCAUGCUGAUGUUAAUAGUCUAGUCAUUGGAAAAACAGCCCUAUCUUUAACAAUAUCGCAAAAUAAAUAUGAUUUGUUCAGCAUCCUUUUAGAAAAUGCUUCUGUUAAUGUCAAUGUUCGGAGUAAACUAAUGAAGAAUAAUUUGGAAGCGCCUAUUGUAACAGCUUGUCGAAUUUCUAAUGUUGAUAUGGUUAAGAAACUCUUACAAUUUAAGAAUUUGGAUAUAAAUGUUGUCGAUAAUCAUGGUCGAGGUGCCGUUUGGAUGUGUGCUAGACAAGGGGAGUACGACAUUUUAAAAAGCCUACUUAUAGCUGGUGCCUCAUCAGAAAUGCUACCAUCAACCUGGUCUCAAUCCCCUUUAUAUUGCGAUAUCAGGUACACUCAAAAUACAAGCAAAAUCGCCGAGCUGUUAAUUCUUAAUGGUGCUAAUGUUCGAAUAACUACACCAGCUCACCAAACAAGUCUAGCGCAUCUAGCCAUAACGCAAAAUCGUGUUCAUUUAGCUUAUUUACUAGUCCAAGCAGGUUGUUGGCUUAGUUUUGAUACAAAACUUAAAGCGGAUUUUCAUUCUAAAGCUCUAGACGAAUAUUUAACUGCAGAUGACCAAGAUUGGCUUACAAUGGAAAUAAAUAAUCCACCCAGCCUACAACGUCAGUGCUCCAUAUCUAUCCGAACACAGUUGUUCAAGGCAACAAAAGGAUCAUUUUUCCUUAAAACUCUCUAUAAGUUACCCUUACCAAAACCGCUUUUAGACAAUAUCAGUUUAUUAAAUAUUGUUGAUAAACAAAUUUCGAACGAUAUGUUUUUUAAUGAUUGAAGUUUUAAGGUGAUUAUUUCUUUUUUUUCUUUUAGUAUUAUCUUAAUCUGGUCGAAUUGUAUCCUCGAAUAAAAAA